UACGUAGGCAGCGAGCGUUGUUCGGAGUUACUGGGCGUAAAGAGUGCGUAGGCGGUGCUCCAAGUCUGGUGUGAAAUCUCCCGGCUUAACCGGGAGGGUGCGCCGGAAACUGGGGUGCUGGAGUGUGGGAGAGGUAAGCGGAAUUCCCGGUGUAGCGGUGAAAUGCGUAGAGAUCGGAAAGAACACCAACGGCGAAAGCACUCUGCUGGGCCGACACUGACACUGAGAGACGAAAGCUAGGGGAGCGAAUGGG
Molecule: ribosomal RNA, 253 nt
Filed under: uncultured bacterium
Lineage: Bacteria
Description: partial 16S ribosomal RNA
Rfam family: Bacterial small subunit ribosomal RNA
Source: RNAcentral